RNAcentral lists this ribosomal RNA (395 nucleotides) under uncultured bacterium. Its description in RNAcentral is "partial 16S ribosomal RNA". It matches the Rfam family "Bacterial small subunit ribosomal RNA", at positions 128 to 518 of the family's 1533-position model. The record is from RNAcentral.
GUCCCCCGGAGGCUGACAGCCGGUGGAAACGCCGGGUGAUCGGCCGUGCGGCCCUUGGGGGGCAUCCCCUUUGGGCGAAAGGCCUACGGGCGCCGGGGAGGGGCAUGCGUCCCAUUAGAUAGUCGGCGGGGUGACGGCCCACCGAGUCAACGAUGGGUAGGGGGUCUGAGAGGAGGCCCCCCACACUGGCACUGAGACACGGGCCAGACUCCUGCGGGAGGCAGCAGUAAGGGAUAUUGGUCAAUGGGGGGAACCCUGAACCAGCCCAUGCCGCGUGAGGGAAGUAGGCCCUACGGGUCGUGAACCUCUUUUAUUCGGGGACAAGGGCGCGGUCGCGAACCGUGUUAGAGGGUACCGAAGGAAUAAGCGUCGGCUAACUCCGUGCCAGCCGCCGC